This is a transfer RNA of Taphrina deformans PYCC 5710, 71 nucleotides long. It matches the Rfam family "tRNA". Rfam says of the family: Transfer RNA (tRNA) molecules are approximately 80 nucleotides in length. Their secondary structure includes four short double-helical elements and three loops (D, anti-codon, and T loops). The record is from Rfam. NCBI's taxonomy places the organism in Eukaryota, Fungi, Ascomycota, Taphrinomycetes, Taphrinales, Taphrinaceae.
GCCCGGAUAGCUUAACGGUAAAGCACAGCCCUGAAGAUGCUGUGAUAGAGGUUCAAUUCCUUUUCUGGGCG